AUUGAACGCUGGCGGCAGGCCCAACACAUGCAAGUCGAGCGAGCGGCGGACGGGUGAGUAAUGUAUGGGGACUGCCCGAUAGAGGGGGAUAACUACUGGAAACGGUAGCUAAAACCGCAUACUAUCGGAUAACCCAUAUGGGAUUAGCUGGUAGGUGAGGUAAUGGCUCACCUAGGCGACGAUCCCGAGCUGGUCUGAGAGGAUGAUCAGCCACACGGGGACUGAGACACGGCCCAGACGCCUACGGAGGCAGCAGUGGGGAAUAUUGCACAAUGGGCGCAAGCCUGAUGCAGCCAUGCCGCGUGUAUGAAGAAGGCCUUAGGGUUGUAAAGUACUGUCAGUCGGGAGGCGUUACCGAAAGAAGAAGCACCGGCUAACUACGUGCCAGCAGCCGCGGUAAUAC
RNAcentral lists this ribosomal RNA (403 nucleotides) under uncultured bacterium. RNAcentral describes it as "partial 16S ribosomal RNA". It matches the Rfam family "Bacterial small subunit ribosomal RNA", at positions 29 to 526 of the family's 1533-position model. The record is from RNAcentral.